GUCCACGCCGUAAACGAUGAGAACUAGAUGUUAGGGAGCUUAGACUUCUUAGUAUCGCAGCAAACGCGUUAAGUUCUCCGCCUGGGGAGUACGGCCGCAAGGUUAAAACUCAAAGGAAUUGACGGGGGCCCGCACAAGCGGUGGAGCAUGUGGUUUAAUUCGAUGCAACGCGAAGAACCUUACCUACUUUUGAAUCCACGGAAUCUUGCAGAAAUGUGAGAGUGCCUUCGGGAACCGUGAGACAGGUGCUGCAUGGCUGUCGU
This 263-nucleotide ribosomal RNA is filed under the name uncultured bacterium. RNAcentral describes it as "partial 16S ribosomal RNA". It matches the Rfam family "Bacterial small subunit ribosomal RNA", at positions 793 to 1055 of the family's 1533-position model. The record is from RNAcentral.